RNAcentral lists this ribosomal RNA (431 nucleotides) under uncultured Sphingobacteriales bacterium. RNAcentral's name for it is "bacterial SSU rRNA". It matches the Rfam family "Bacterial small subunit ribosomal RNA", at positions 948 to 1382 of the family's 1533-position model. Lineage: Bacteria; Pseudomonadati; Bacteroidota; Sphingobacteriia; Sphingobacteriales. The record is from RNAcentral.
AAUUCGAUGAUACGCGAGGAACCGUUACCUGGGCUCAAAUGUAUGUGACGAUUCUGAAAGGAUACUUCUUCGGACAAUAUACAAGGUGCUGCAUGGUUGUCGUCAGCUCGUGCCGUGAGGUGUCGGGUUAAGUCCCAUAACGAGCGCAACCCCUAUCAUUAGUUGCCAUCAGGUCAAGCUGGGGACUCUAAUGAAACUGCCUACGCAAGUAGUGAGGAAGGUGGGGAUGACGUCAAAUCAGCACGGCCCUUACGUCCAGGGCUACACACGUGCUACAAUGGCCGGCACAACGGGAAGCGAGUUCGCGAGGCAGAGCGGAUCCCUUAAAGCCGGUCCCAGUUCGGAUUGCAGUCUGCAACUCGACUGCAUGAAGCCGGAAUCGCUAGUAAUCGCGGAUCAGCCAAGCCGCGGUGAAUACGUUCCCGGGCCUU